UCCAGACUCCUACGGGAGGCAGCAGUGGGGAAUAUUGCACAAUGGGGGGAACCCUGAUGCAGCGACGCCGCGUGGGUGAAGGAGUACUUCGGUACGUAAAGCCCUAUCAGCAGGAAAGAAAAUGACGGUACCUGACUAAGAAGCCCCGGCUAACUACGUGCCAGCAGCCGCGGUAAUACGUAGGGGGCAAGCGUUAUCCGGAUUUACUGGGUGUAAAGGGAGCGUAGACGGCGAAGCAAGUCUGAUGUGAAAGGCAGGGGCUCAACCCCUGGACUGCAUUGGAAACUGUUUUGCUGGAGUGCCGGAGAGGUAAGCGGAAUUCCUAGUGUAGCGGUGAAAUGCGUAGAUAUUAGGAGGAACACCAGUGGCGAAGGCGGCUUACUGGACGGUAACUGACGUUGAGGCUCGAAAGCGUGGGGAGCAAACAGGAUUAGAUACCCGAGUA
This 445-nucleotide ribosomal RNA is filed under the name uncultured bacterium. RNAcentral's name for it is "bacterial SSU rRNA". It matches the Rfam family "Bacterial small subunit ribosomal RNA", at positions 330 to 792 of the family's 1533-position model. The record is from RNAcentral.